RNAcentral lists this small nuclear RNA (237 nucleotides) under Echinops telfairi (small Madagascar hedgehog). RNAcentral describes it as "7SK RNA (ENSETEG00000025526.1)". The stretch from base 1 to 161 matches the Rfam family "7SK RNA". From Rfam's summary of the family: 7SK was discovered as an abundant small nuclear RNA in the mid-70s but a possible function has only recently been suggested. Two independent studies have found that 7SK RNA binds the CDK9/cyclin T complex (known as elongation factor P-TEFb). P-TEFb activates transcription by phosphorylating the C-terminal domain of RNA polymerase II. Lineage: Eukaryota; Metazoa; Chordata; Mammalia; Afrosoricida; Tenrecidae. The record is from RNAcentral.
GGACAUCUGGCUGUGACAUCUGUCACCCAUUGAUUGCCAGGAUUGGUUCGGCUGAUCUGGCUGGCUAGAUCACCACUCCAUGUGCCUCCCUCUCAAAGCUGGUGUGGUGGGUUGAAGAGGAGCACUUUCUCAGAUAAAAGAGGGCUGUUCUAGUGGUGUAGUGGGCUGUGAUCUGCAUGAUUGGAAGUUCAAAUCCACUAGCAGAUUCAAGGGAGAAAGACUGGACUUUCUGUUCCU